GUUCCGCUCCGGGCGCAAGCGCCGCCGGUGGGGUACCUCCGCCGGGCAGUACACCCGCCGCGCCGCUCGCCUCACGGCGCUACCUUCUCCGCCCUUUCCCCGCGGCUCACAUCGCCGCACCGGGGCCGGAACUACUGCUGUGUGCCAGUUUACUGAACCAUGGCUUGCUAAAGAGAUUGCUGGGGUCACAGAUUGAAAAAACAAAGAACAUAACCACCACCUAAUGCUGAAGUUUAUGCCUAGCAAAGAAAAGAGGCAGAAAAGAAACUCAUGAAAGGCAGCAAUCUUUUUGCUCUCUACUUGUCUACAAAUUCUCCAUCUUUGAUGUCACACGUUCAGGAGGAAAGGCUAGCAGUCUGUCAACACACAGUGAUUUUGACUCUACCCCCUGGCGUGACUCCUGCACUGCUUAGAGAUUUGGCACACAGCUUUGAUGUCACUUCCUAAAUGAAUCUGGACAAAUCUGUGGGUAAACUGUGUUACCCAUACUCUUAUGAGAAAGUCAGCUCACUCCAUGAGAACAGGUGACAGGAUCCCAGCAGUCACCUUGAAAAGAAUUACACCAGUGCCCUUUCCAUUCAAGUCCAGGACCUUUCUAGGGUUCUCUACUCACAUGAUAAAAUCUGAUGAUCUUUAUUCAUGUAAAUCUUAACCACGAUCAGGAAGUUUUUGCUUUCAGUAUUAGAGAGCAAAAACUUUGUGUAUGUCUGCACUGCACUCCCUCGGGCAACUGCAACUCCUGAAUGCUUUUGACUGGCUAGCUCGGGUGCCAAAAGCUUUCUAAGAAACUGAAGGGCUGGCUCUCCAUGUGCUACAACAGUACUGCCCUGUUAGGCUUUCUAAAUGACUGUGCCUGCAAGGGAGGGCUGUAGCCACUGCAUUAUAAAUGUAGCCUACACAAUUCUGAACAAAGUCCAACAUACUCUG
Long non-coding RNA from Neopsephotus bourkii (Bourke's parrot), 927 nucleotides. RefSeq lists it as uncharacterized. Lineage: Eukaryota; Metazoa; Chordata; Aves; Psittaciformes; Psittacidae. The transcript has 3 exons. The record is from RefSeq and is a predicted model, not a curated record.